CCGCAGUUUGCACUCAUUGAUCAGUGAGUUGAUUGACAUUCAAACCCACCGACAGCAAUGAAUGUUGAGUGCAG
Molecule: microRNA precursor, 74 nt
Filed under: Cricetulus griseus (Chinese hamster)
Lineage: Eukaryota; Metazoa; Chordata; Mammalia; Rodentia; Cricetidae
Description: mir-181
Source: RNAcentral